CUACGGGGGGCUCCAGUGGGGAAUAUUGCGCAAUGGGCGAAAGCCUGACGCAGCAACGCCGUGUGAGGGAUGAAGGCUUUCGGGUCGUAAACCUCUGUCAGAAGGGAAGAACGGGUAUUGGUCUAAUAGGCCUUUAUUUUGACGGUACCUUCAGAGGAAGCACCGGCUAACUCCGUGCCAGCAGCCGCGGUAAUACGGAGGGUGCAAGCGUUAUGCGGAAUUACUGGGCGUAAAGCGCACGUAGGCCGCUUUGUAAGUCAGGGGUGAAAUCCCACGGCUCAACCGUGGAACUGCCUUUGAAACUGAAGAGCUUGAAUCCUGGAGAGGGUGGCGGAAUUCCUGGUGUAGGAGUGACAUCCGUAGAUAUCAGGAGGAACACCGGUGGCGAAGGCGGCCACCUGGACAGGUAUUGACGCUGAGGUGCGAAAGUGUGGGGAGCAAACAGGAUUAGAUACCCUCGUAGUC
Molecule: ribosomal RNA, 465 nt
Filed under: uncultured bacterium
Lineage: Bacteria
Description: partial 16S ribosomal RNA
Rfam family: Bacterial small subunit ribosomal RNA
Source: RNAcentral